UCUCUCUCUCUCUCUCUCAAAAAUAAACAUUAAAAAAAAAAAACGACUUGGAGAAGGGCAGUCAGGCCUCUCUGCCAAGGGCCUGCGGUAUCUGGGUUCUUGGCUUCUAUCAGUAGAAAUGGCAUGAUGUUGCUCUUAUCUUUCAGUGUCGUCUCUCCUUUUUCAGAAUCGGUGGGACUGUUGAACUGCUUCAGGGCUGGGCAGAGGUGCUGUGCGGUGGGGAGACCCGAGGGCAGGAUCGUGUGGGGGAACAUCCCAGUGUGGAGAGACUGCGGGGAGAUAUGUGAGGCAGAGGCAGGUCACAGCUAGAAGAGUGUGUUCCUUCCUCCCCUGGUCACACUAUUUUUGGUGUUGGACGCUCACAGAUGUCUGCUUGUUCCAGCGAGACGUGCUCAGCUCUCAGUGCAUCUGGCAAGUGGGAUGAGGACAGCCAGCACUGGUCGCCUGUGUUCAGCGUGUCUCCAGCUUGCUCUGGCGUCGGGACGAGGCCUGGCUGGCUCCCUUACCUGUGCACAGGGUCCUGCUGGUGGGGAGCCUUGUGCACAGAGCCACAUGACCCAGUGAUCUGUGCCAGUUCCUCCUGACAGGAAGUGGAGCUGUGUUAAGGAUUCUUAGACGGGUUUUGGCUUUGAGUGUAGGAUUGAUGCGAUGUGGCCCCCGGUCCUUCCUGCCUUUGGCUCUGUUGGCUAGUAUCUCUGUGGGGAAGGUCCUGUCUCUGAGCAGAUGAGGUUAAUACCCUCCCCUUCCCCCCACCGCCCCCGCUGCCCCACCACCAUGAACCUGGGCUGUGAGAAUGUGGCCAGUGAAUGGGUUUCACUGGUGCCCAAGUAUGCAGGGCAAGGCUCCCAGGCUGUCAGCAGAAGUUGGGCUGAUGCUGGACCGCUUUCUCCUCAGGGAUGGAGGGCAACUCACCAGGGUCUGUGCCCCACCCGGAACAGUGACUCUAAUCGCGCUUUGUUCUGGGAUCUUCACGUGGCUCCUGUGACCUGCCUCUCCUCUUUCUUGUCUUGGUCUCUUGUGUAAAUUCAUUGAGUCCAGAUGCUUUCGGGUGACAGGAACUGAUUGCCAAGUGUGGGAUCUGCUAGGCACAGCUCAGCUUUGGUGAGUGGCUGGUCUGAAUAGAUGUGGUACCACCUCUGUGUUCUCUUCUUGGGGCUCUUGGUGCUAUUCCUGGGGCUCAGCUAUUUAAGAGCAAGCACACCACGUGUUGCAGGUGUGGGCGUCCCUCUGCUGUUGUGAAGCUCAGGGCGGACGAGCUUGGGGGUGUUGCAGGGAGGUCACUGGAGGAUGCGGGAUGCAAGGCCCAGGCCUGGGGUGGUGGAACAGGAUACCUCAUAUUGCCCGAAUCGGGGCUGAAUCAGGCUGCAGACCCAGGAUGUUGUCCCUGCCUGGCGUUCAUGUGCGUGCCUGGAUACAGGUUCUGGCUAUCUGAGCUGCUGUCCCUUGAACAGCCGAUGGCCAGGGUGGGGGACAGCUUGUAUUGCUUCCAAAUCUUCACUGAUAUUGAUAUGGUUGGGUGGCUGCCAAGUUCAGAGCAGGACACGGGGCUGGGAGGAGCAGGGGAGAAGGGGCUGGCUGUCCAUGCCAUAGCCCCAGUCAUCCAGGAGAAUAAUUAAGGCCUGAGGUGUCUUGGAAAGUCAGGAGUUUGCCACUCCAUUGGAACUCUGGGUGGAGGGUCUCCUGGGUUACAGGCAUCAUAGACUCCUGGCCAACCGACUCCUUGGCUGCUCAAGGCUACAGGGUCUGUGUGAGUCCCCAGGACCUAUUGACAAGUUGGUGGCAGGACUCAGUGGUGACUGUGGAAGGCUUCCCACAGUGGAUGGUUUCUGGAGUCAGUAGCAUUUCUCAGAAGAACCCCGCAGGGUGUGUUAGAGAGGGGAGUGGGGACACAGCUCACACGCACCCAAGGCUGGGCCUUAGCCAGGAUGCAGCCUGGAAAGCUUUGUUUAAAGUUGGGGCUAGUGUUUCUCGUUACUUUUUAACCUAUCGAUUCACCCUGUGGGUGGUGCUGAGCUCACCUUAAGCUUGACAGGUGGCGUCAGGGGGCCCAGAAUCCGAGCUCUGCAAGUUGGCCAGUUCUGGGGAGAUGAGCAUUGCUGUUCUGAAAGCCAGGUUCCAGGCUUGAGGGUUCUGGAGCCUCUAGCUGCUUCCCCUUUCCCUGCCCCAGCCACAGAUGAGCACAGCAGAAAUCAGAUGUGCAUAGCAGUUUUACGUUGGAGUCCAGGAGGAAUCCUGAAGUCUAUGGAAAAUUUAGGGGAAAUUUAGAAAAGUGAGCCUCAUGUCAUCAUUUCCACUUAGGAUGUGUGCGGAGAUUUUGGUAACCCGAAGAGUCAGAAGAUUGUGUUUAAAAAAACAGAACAGGAGUGGCAGCAGUCAGCCCAUACAGGCAGGUUGUUUAACAGAGCAGCCAGCCUCCUGUCCUGUGCCCACUUAUGGGGCCAGCCUUCCUCAGCCCCUGUGCCAGCCUGCCCUGUCUGCACAGUGGAUGAGCACCCAUCAUGCAGGGCCUGAAAUAAAGCAGUCUGUGCAUACCUUCCACGAGCUGUGGCCACCUGGCAGGUCCUCCCCAGACUCUGCAGGCCAGGUGAAGCCUGGGCAGUGGGGAGUGAGUGAGUGGGAUGUCUCCAUGUGGGGUCCCAGUCAGACCUAGGCAUCUGAUGGCCCAGAGUGUGUGUCCUUAACUUUGGCCAGACUCCAGCCAGAUCCCAGGUAUAACAGCAAGGUAAGCAAAUAGUCCUCCAGCGCUUGACCCUGUGCUGGGCAUUGAUGGUUCCAAGUGAAGAGGGAUAGUCCCAUGGGCUUUAAUCCUACCUACCAGCCAGGAGAGGUCCCUGGAGAAGGGAUAUUUGGCAGGACCUGAAGGAAAAGUGGCAUUCCUGGGCCCCAGGCAGGUGGUGGGGAAGAGCCUGUACCCUGGGGAGUCAUGGGAGGAUGUGCUGAGGGAGCGGCCUGGACCUCUUCCUUGAGCAUCACGGUCAGGGUGACAGGUCAGAGAGGACGGGGAGGGUGGCCGGGGGGCAUGCUGCACCACAGGGCACCACACACUUCUGGGCUUCAGGACACAGUGCCCUGUGCCCACACCUGGCAUGCUUUACCUCCAUGUCUUCCCGACCCUACACCCUGCCCCUUCCUUUGUCAUCUCGGGUCAGAGGGUCCCCGCUCCGUGUGCCCUCCAGCACUCAGCAUGUCCCUAGAGGUCUGCCUGCUUCUGUCCCAGCCGUAGGUGGGCUGCUGUAGCACACAGGAGCAUAGUGAACCACUAUCAGAUGAACGUGUGGUGGGACCAUGUCAAGGGGGACGCAGGUCCUGUGCGGUCUCCUGGUCUAACUCUAGCCUUGUGCAGUCUGCACUGUUGCUCCAAGGGCGGGUGUCUUGCACCGGGUCUGGAUCCUGGCAGCUCGGCUCCCGUGGUAGAUCCCUAGCCUGGUGGCUGUAACUUUUUGGGGGGGGGGGGGAGCUGUCCAUGCUUAUAUAUCUGAUUUACUCGUUGUUCUCUGGCUCUGCCAGACUCCUUUUCCAUAAAGAAAGCCCUUCCAUGUCCUCGCUUGCGUUGCCCCGGAUCUUAGCCCAGGAUGGUGGUGUUCCCUCACAGAGCGCACCAUAAAGGCACCUCUGAAGCUGCCUGGAGCAUCAGCAUGGGCCCACAGCUGGACAGUCUGGUUGGACACAGUCUGGAAUGGCUGGCUCAUAGCACCUUCCCUGUGGUAGGCCUAGGCCUGUCGUGCUACCUUUUCCCUUUUUUUAUCAAAUAAAACCAGGUAUAAAGUGGCACUUUAUUAAGUAGGUGACAGGAGUAGGGGCCAGGGAGUCCUACAGUGUGGCCUGACUCUGCCCAGGGGCCGGUGGCCAGUGGCAAGUUCUUGGCCUCGUGUGGUCACGGGGCAGUGCUUUCCCCUGCAGGGUGCUCCCCGCCCCUGCAGCCUGCUUGUGAUGGGGGUGCCGUGGACAGCAGCAUCAGGGCCAUUUGCUUGGGGCCCUGGCCUAUCUGUUACCAGUGACCGGGCUCAUGCCUGGGCAUUGGCAAACCUUGCCAGGCUGCCGAGUGCUUUCCCCAGGCAGGGGCUUUUGGAUUCUGCAUUUGUGGGCCUAAAACUUCUUCCCUAAGUUGGUUCAGAAGCAGAAAGAUGAAGGUCAUCCGUUUUCCUCACAGAACACUGACCGUGCUGCAUGCCCCAUGUCCUGGCACUCUGAUUUAACAAGUGGCAAAUGUCAUCACUAAGGUGGGACCCGCCGUGCUCCUCGUGGGAUAAGAUCACCUCUCCUGCUGUGACUUUUGGCCUCCGUUGGUGGCUGGAAGUUGUCCUGGCGGGUCCCCAUAAGUGAUGCUUACUCCCAGGUUCUGCUCUGGUGAAUUAAAUGUGUGAAGUUGCCACCCA
Leopardus geoffroyi (Geoffroy's cat) is the source of this 4376-nucleotide long non-coding RNA. RefSeq lists it as uncharacterized. The record is from RefSeq and is a predicted model, not a curated record. The transcript has 2 exons. NCBI's taxonomy places the organism in Eukaryota, Metazoa, Chordata, Mammalia, Carnivora, Felidae.